This 657-nucleotide ribosomal RNA is filed under the name uncultured Wolbachia sp. Its description in RNAcentral is "bacterial SSU rRNA". It matches the Rfam family "Bacterial small subunit ribosomal RNA", at positions 94 to 787 of the family's 1533-position model. The record is from RNAcentral. Lineage: Bacteria; Pseudomonadati; Pseudomonadota; Alphaproteobacteria; Rickettsiales; Anaplasmataceae.
AGUGGCAGACGGGUGAGUAAUGUAUAGGAAUCUACCUAGUAGUACGGAAUAAUUGUUGGAAACGGCAACUAANACCGUAUACGCCCUACGGGGGAAAAAUUUAUUGCUAUUAGAUGAGCCUAUAUUAGAUUAGUUAGUUGGUGAGGUAAAGGCUUACCAAGACAAUGAUCUAUAGCUGAUCUGAGAGGAUGAUCAGCCACACUGGAACUGAGAUACGGUCCAGACUCCUACGGGAGGCAGCAGUGGGGAAUAUUGACAAUGGGCGAAAGCCUGAUCCAGCCAUGCCGCAUGAGUGAAGAAGGCCUUCGGGUUGUAAAGCUCUUUUAGUGAGGAAGAUAAUGACGGUACUCACAGAAGAAGUCCUGGCUAACUCCGUGCCAGCAGCCGCGGUAAUACGGAGAGGGCUAGCGUUAUUCGGAAUCAUUGGGCGUAAAGGGCGCGUAGGCGGGUUAGUAAGUUAAAAGUGAAAUCCCAAGGCUCAACCUUGGAACUGCUUUUAAAACUGCUAGUCUAGAGAUUGAAAGAGGAUAGAGGAAUUCCUAGUGUANAGAUGAAAUUCGUAAAUAUUAGGAGGAACACCAGUGGCGAANGCGUCUAUCUGGUUCAAAUCUGACGCUGAGGCGCGAAGGCGUGGGGAGCAAACAGGAUUANAUACCC